GGGCAAGAUAUGUGAAGUUAGCUAACUUUUAAAAAAGUUAACUCACAUCACACAGGUCUUAUUCGCACAUGCCUGUGCUCAACGAAUCUUGCUCUGCGAGGCU
Molecule: non-coding RNA, 103 nt
Organism: Nitrosomonas sp. AL212
Lineage: Bacteria; Pseudomonadati; Pseudomonadota; Betaproteobacteria; Nitrosomonadales; Nitrosomonadaceae
Source: Rfam